GACGUAGGGGGCCAGCGUUGUUCGGAAUUACUGGGUGUAAAGGGUUCGUAGGCGGUGUGGCAAGUCGGGAGUGAAAUUUCUGGGCUCAACUCAGAGACUGCUUCCGAAACUGCUGUGCUUGAGUGUGGGAGAGGCGCGUGGAAUUGCAGGUGUAGCGGUGAAAUGCGUAGAUAUCUGCAGGAACACCCGUGGCGAAAGCGGCGCGCUGGACCACUACUGACGCUGAGGAGCGAAAGCGUGGGGAGCGAACAGG
Molecule: ribosomal RNA, 253 nt
Filed under: uncultured bacterium
Lineage: Bacteria
Description: partial 16S ribosomal RNA
Rfam family: Bacterial small subunit ribosomal RNA
Source: RNAcentral